AGUGAACGCUGGCGGUAGGCCUAACACAUGCAAGUCGAACGGCAGCACAGUAAGAGCUUGCUCUUACGGGUGGCGAGUGGCGGACGGGUGAGGAAUACAUCGGAAUCUACUUUUUCGUGGGGGAUAACGUAGGGAAACUUACGCUAAUACCGCAUACGACCUACGGGUGAAAGCUGGGGAUCUUCGGUCCUUGCGCGAUUGAAUGAGCCGAUGUCGGAUUAGCUAGUUGGCGGGGUAAAGGCCCACCAAGGCGACGAUCCGUAGCUGGUCUGAGAGGAUGAUCAGCCACACUGGAACUGAGACACGGUCCAGACUCCUACGGGAGGCAGCAGUGGGGAAUAUUGGACAAUGGGCGCAAGCCUGAUCCAGCCAUACCGCGUGGGUGAAGAAGGCCUUCGGGUUGUAAAGCCCUUUUGUUGGGAAAGAAAAGCAGCAGGUUAAUACCCCGCUGUUCUGACGGUACCCAAAGAAUAAGCACCGGCUAACUUCGUG
This 492-nucleotide ribosomal RNA is filed under the name uncultured bacterium. RNAcentral's name for it is "partial 16S ribosomal RNA". It matches the Rfam family "Bacterial small subunit ribosomal RNA", at positions 29 to 507 of the family's 1533-position model. The record is from RNAcentral.